ACUCAGGCUCGUGCCCGCGUCGACCGAAAGCUUUGUUUUCUUUCCUCUGUUUAGCUAAAUGGACAUUCCCGGUCGGAAUAUUAUCGCUUUUUUAUGAGAAAAAUGGCAUAAAAAUUGAUUUUAAACAGCGGUUGACAUGCUUUGAAGUACGGUAAUGGAAUAUUUAGAAUUUUUUUGUCACGAAUUGCGCCAUGCGCACGACCCUGAUUUACCAUUUCAGAUAGUGUCUGGGACGCACAAACAAAAACGCUGGAUUAUUUUGGACCAAACCAACAUUUGUUAUUGAAGUAGCAGUCCUGGGAGUGCAUUCUGACGAAGACAACAAAAGAGGACCUGAGCCCUAGGACCAUGCCUCUGGACUACCUGGCAUGAUGACUCCUUGCUGUCCCCAGUCCACCUGGCCGUGCUGCUGCUCCAGUUUCAACUGUUCUGCCAGCGGCUAUGGAACCCUGACCUGUUCACCGGACGUGCUACCUGACCCAGACCUGCUGUUUUCAACUCUCUAGAGACACCAAGAGCGGUAGAGAUACUCUCAAUGAUCGGCUAUGAAAAGCCAACUGACAUUUACUCCUGAGGUGCUGACCUGUUGCACCCUCGACAACUACUGUGAUUAUUAUUAUUUGAACAUCUUGGCCAUGUUCUGUUAUAAUCUCCACCCGGCACAGCCAGAAGAGGACUGGCCACCCCUCAUAGCCUGGUUCCUCUCUAGGUUUUUUCCUAGGUUUUGGCCUUUCUAGGGAGUUUUUCCAAGCCACCGUGCUUCUACACCUUCAUUGCUUGCUGUUUGGGGUUUUAGGCUGGGUUUCUGUACAGCACUUUGAGAUAUCAGCUGAUCUAAGAAGGGCUAUAUAUAUACAUUUGAUUUGAUGAGUGCAUAUAAUUUUACGUACGAGUGGUCUCAGGAAUCAAACCCAUUAUCCUGGCGUUGCAAGCGCUAUCAUGAUCUACCAACUGAGUUGCAGGUCAACAUACUUUCCAUGACACAGCACUAGAUAUGAUACAUCAUCAUCAGUCAUUAAUAAAGGCUUUUCUAGAGCUCUGACUGUAGAGUGGGUUAGAGGUCAGGUCAGAUGGAUGCUACAUACUAAAUAUUAAUACAGAGUUUCCUAGACUGAAGUAGGUGAGAG
Molecule: long non-coding RNA, 1127 nt
Filed under: Salmo salar (Atlantic salmon)
Lineage: Eukaryota; Metazoa; Chordata; Actinopteri; Salmoniformes; Salmonidae
Description: lncRNA (ENSSSAG00000100907.1)
Source: RNAcentral